Molecule: ribosomal RNA, 175 nt
Filed under: uncultured Rhodococcus sp.
Lineage: Bacteria; Bacillati; Actinomycetota; Actinomycetes; Mycobacteriales; Nocardiaceae
Description: partial 16S ribosomal RNA
Rfam family: Bacterial small subunit ribosomal RNA
Source: RNAcentral
CCUACGGGAGGCAGCAGUGGGGAAUAUUGCACAAUGGGCGAAAGCCUGAUGCAGCGACGCCGCGUGAGGGAUGACGGCCUUCGGGUUGUAAACCUCUUUCAGCAGGGAACGAAGCGCAAGUGACGGUACCUGCAGAAGAAGCACCGGCUAACUACGUGCCAGCAGCCGCGGUAAU